GGCAAAAAUGUCUUACCCUGGAAUUUCAAAUCAAUUUCACGAGCACAUUGACGACCUUCUUGAAUACCCCAUACGACCAAACUUUGACCACGGCGGCAAUCACCAGCAGCGUAAAUGCCAGGAACACUAGUUUCAUACGAUUUAGUAGGAGUGCUGAUGUUAGAACGAGCAUCUCUAUCAACGUUCAUUCCAGCAGUAGCUUGCUCCUCAGGACCUAAGAAACCUAAAGCAAGGAUGACUAAAUCUGCAGGGAAAAACUCCUCAGAGUUACGAAUCUCCUUCAUGAUCCAGCGACCCUUACUGUUCUUAGUCCACUCAAUACGAACAGUAUUAAUACCCUUAACAUUGCCAUCUUCAUCCUUUUCAAAACUCUUAGUUAAAAUAGAGUAUUCACGGAAAUCUUGACCAUAAUGAGCUUGUACUUCAGCAUGUCCAUAAUCAACGCGGAAGACACGAGGGUAUUGAGGCCAAGGGUUGUCGAAGGCACGUUCACGAGGAGGAAUGGGAAGUAACUCCAAAUUUCUAACACUUUUAGCACCAUGACGAACACUGGUACCCAAACAAUCAUUACCAGUAUCACCUCCUCCAAUAACAAUUACAUCCUUGCCCUUAGCACUAAUAUAAUUGCCAUCUUUGAGUUCACUAUCAAGAAGACUCUUAGUAUUUUUGUGAAGGAACUCCAUGGCAAAGUGAAUACCCUUAGAAUCACGGUUGGGAAUGGGCAAAUCACGAGGAACCGUAGAGCCAGAGGCGAGAACAACAGCAUCGUAAACCUUGUGAAGUUCAUCAAGGCUAACAUCACCGUUCUUACCGACUUCAACGUUUGUAAGUACUUCAAUACCUUCGUCAAUCAUGAGCUGGAUACGACGCUCAACAACCUUCUUGUCUAGUUUCAUAUUAGGAAUACCAUAUUGAAGAAGACCACCUGGACGAUCGGCACGCUCAUAAAUUACUACAUGGUGACCAGCGCGGUUGAGUUGGUCAGCGGCAGCAAGACCUGCAGGCCCAGAACCGAUAAUGGCAACACGACGACCAGUACGUUCAGCAGGAGGUCUGGGGACAAUCCAGCCUUCCUCCCAAGCCUUGUCAAUAAUAGCACGCUCAACACUCUUGAUUCCAACAGGCGAUUCAAUAAUACCUAAGGUACAAGCGCCUUCACAAGGAGCAGGGCAGACACGGCCUGUAAAUUCUGGAAAAUUAUUGGUCAACAAAAGCUGGGUUAAGGCCUCUUUCCACUGUUGUUUGAAAACCAAAUCAUUCCAAGUGAAAAUUUUGUUGGAAAUAGGACAACCAUAAUCAGAUUGACAGAAAGGAGUACCACAGUCCAUACAUCUGGCAGUUUGAACACGUAAUUCAUCUUCACGAAGACGAACGGAAAGUUCUUUCCAAUCAUUCGUUCUCUUAAGAGGGUUACGAUAAUGUUCACUGCGGCGUUGGUAUUUCAUAAAUCCACGAAGCUUGUCCAAAGGAGCGCUCUUUUUCACAGUAGCACCUAAGGUAUCUUCCACAUCAGCAAUCUGAGCAUUAGUUUCCUCAAUUUGUUGACGAAUAGGAUUUCCUGGCAUGAAAGCUUUGGGAUACUGUAGUCUCUUGGCUUCUUCCUUCUUAGCAGCUUCACGUUCCAAUACAGCCUUGUACUCUCUUGGAAGAACCUUAACAAAGCGGCUAAGGUGACGAGGGAAAUCACUUAAUAUACGGUCAGCCACCUGUGAGCCCGUGUAAUGCCUAUGGUCUUGAAUAAGUCCUCUGAGGAAAGCAAUUUCAGCAGCAUCAGUGACAGAAGAAAUAUCGACCAUUUCUGUGUUAAUUUUACCAGCAAAGUCCAUUUGCAUAUCGUAGACAUAUGCAAUACCACCAGACAUACCAGCAGCGAAGUUUCUGCCAGUUGAACCAAGAAUUACAACACGACCACCAGUCAUGUACUCACAACCGUGGUCACCAACGCCUUCAACUACAGCAAUUGCACCAGAGUUACGAACAGCGAAACGCUCUGCUGCCACACCAGAAAUAAAAGCAUGACCAGAAGUGGCACCAUACAGACAGACAUUACCAAUGAUCAUAUUUUCUUCGGGCUUAAAGGGAGAAACCCUAGGAGGAUAAAUAAUCAAGCGACCGCCAGAUAAGCCUUUGCCGACAUAAUCGUUACAGUCACCUUCUAAUUGGAGUGUAACACCUGGAGCUAAGAAAGCACCAAAAGAUUGGCCAGCUGAACCAAAAACAUUGACACGAAUAGAAUCAGUAGGAAGACCCUCUUCACCAUAACGCUUACUGAU
Schizosaccharomyces pombe (fission yeast) is the source of this 2273-nucleotide non-coding RNA. NCBI's taxonomy places the organism in Eukaryota, Fungi, Ascomycota, Schizosaccharomycetes, Schizosaccharomycetales, Schizosaccharomycetaceae. The record is from the annotation of a GenBank genome assembly.